GCUGUAAAAGUUAAGGUUAAACAACCAGUCUUGUAAACUGGCAAAGAAAGUUAAACUCUUUCUUACAGCU
This 70-nucleotide transfer RNA is filed under the name Stichopus chloronotus. Its description in RNAcentral is "tRNA-Thr". It matches the Rfam family "tRNA". From Rfam's summary of the family: Transfer RNA (tRNA) molecules are approximately 80 nucleotides in length. Their secondary structure includes four short double-helical elements and three loops (D, anti-codon, and T loops). Further hydrogen bonds mediate the characteristic L-shaped molecular structure. tRNAs have two regions of fundamental functional importance: the anti-codon, which is responsible for specific mRNA codon recognition, and the 3' end, to which the tRNAs corresponding amino acid is attached (by aminoacyl-tRNA synthetases). tRNAs cope with the degeneracy of the genetic code in two manners: having more than one tRNA (with a specific anti-codon) for a particular amino acid; and 'wobble' base-pairing, i.e. permitting non-standard base-pairing at the 3rd anti-codon position. Lineage: Eukaryota; Metazoa; Echinodermata; Holothuroidea; Aspidochirotida; Stichopodidae. The record is from RNAcentral.